AACGAACGCUGGCGGCAUGCCUAACACAUGCAAGUCGAACGAGACCUUCGGGUCUAGUGGCGCACGGGUGCGUAACGCGUGGGAACCUGCCCUUAGGUUCGGAAUAACUCCCCGAAAGGGGUGCUAAAUACCGGAUAAUGUCUUCGGACCAAAGAUUUAUCGCCUUUGGAUGGGCCCGCGUUGGAUUAGCUAGUUGGUAGGGUAAAAGCCUACCAAGGCGACGAUCCAUAGCUGGUCUGAGAGGAUGAUCAGCCACACUGGGACUGAGACACGGCCCAGACUCCUACGGGAGGCAGCAGUGGGGAAUAUUGGACAAUGGGCGAAAGCCUGAUCCAGCAAUGCCGCGUGAGUGAUGAAGGCCUUAGGGUUGUAAAGCUCUUUUACCCGGGAUGAUAAUGACAGUACCGGGAGAAUAAGCUCCGGCUAACUCCGUG
Molecule: ribosomal RNA, 434 nt
Filed under: uncultured bacterium
Lineage: Bacteria
Description: partial 16S ribosomal RNA
Rfam family: Bacterial small subunit ribosomal RNA
Source: RNAcentral